GAUUAAGUUAUUAAGGGCGCACGGUGGAUGCCUUGGCACUAGAAGCCGAUGAAGGACGUUACUAACGACGAUAUGCUUUGGGGAGCUGUAAGUAAGCUUUGAUCCAGAGAUUUCCGAAUGGGGAAACCCAGCAUGAGUUAUGUCAUGUUAUCGAUAUGUGAAUACAUAGCAUAUCAGAAGGCACACCCGGAGAACUGAAACAUCUUAGUACCCGGAGGAAGAGAAAGAAAAUUCGAUUCCCUUAGUAGCGGCGAGCGAAAUGGGAAGAGCCCAAACCAACAAGCUUGCUUGUUGGGGUUGUAGGACACUCUAUACGGAGUUACAAAGGACGACAUUAGACGAAUCAUCUGGAAAGAUGAAUCAAAGAAGGUAAUAAUCCUGUAGUCGAAAAUGUUGUCUCUCUUGAGUGGAUCCUGAGUACGACGGAGCACGUGAAAUUCCGUCGGAAUCUGGGAGGACCAUCUCCUAAGGCUAAAUACUCUCUAGUGACCGAUAGUGAACCAGUACCGUGAGGGAAAGGUGAAAAGCACCCCGGAAGGGGAGUGAAAUAGAACCUGAAACCGUGUGCUUACAAGUAGUCAGAGCCCGUUAAUGGGUGAUGGCGUGCCUUUUGUAGAAUGAACCGGCGAGUUACGAUUUGAUGCAAGGUUAAGCAGUAAAUGUGGAGCCGUAGCGAAAGCGAGUCUGAAUAGGGCGUUUAGUAUUUGGUCGUAGACCCGAAACCAGGUGAUCUACCCUUGGUCAGGUUGAAGUUCAGGUAACACUGAAUGGAGGACCGAACCGACUUACGUUGAAAAGUGAGCGGAUGAACUGAGGGUAGCGGAGAAAUUCCAAUCGAACCUGGAGAUAGCUGGUUCUCUCCGAAAUAGCUUUAGGGCUAGCCUCAAGUGAUGAUUAUUGGAGGUAGAGCACUGUUUGGACGAGGGGCCCCUCUCGGGUUACCGAAUUCAGACAAACUCCGAAUGCCAAUUAAUUUAACUUGGGAGUCAGAACAUGGGUGAUAAGGUCCGUGUUCGAAAGGGAAACAGCCCAGACCACCAGCUAAGGUCCCAAAAUAUAUGUUAAGUGGAAAAGGAUGUGGCGUUGCCCAGACAACUAGGAUGUUGGCUUAGAAGCAGCCAUCAUUUAAAGAGUGCGUAAUAGCUCACUAGUCGAGUGACACUGCGCCGAAAAUGUACCGGGGCUAAACAUAUUACCGAAGCUGUGGAUUGUCCUUUGGACAAUGGUAGGAGAGCGUUCUAAGGGCGUUGAAGCAUGAUCGUAAGGACAUGUGGAGCGCUUAGAAGUGAGAAUGCCGGUGUGAGUAGCGAAAGACGGGUGAGAAUCCCGUCCACCGAUUGACUAAGGUUUCCAGAGGAAGGCUCGUCCGCUCUGGGUUAGUCGGGUCCUAAGCUGAGGCCGACAGGCGUAGGCGAUGGAUAACAGGUUGAUAUUCCUGUACCACCUAUAAUCGUUUUAAUCGAUGGGGGGACGCAGUAGGAUAGGCGAAGCGUGCGAUUGGAUUGCACGUCUAAGCAGUAAGGCUGAGUAUUAGGCAAAUCCGGUACUCGUUAAGGCUGAGCUGUGAUGGGGAGAAGACAUUGAGUCUUCGAGUCGUUGAUUUCACACUGCCGAGAAAAGCCUCUAGAUAGAAAAUAGGUGCCCGUACCGCAAACCGACACAGGUAGUCAAGAUGAGAAUUCUAAGGUGAGCGAGCGAACUCUCGUUAAGGAACUCGGCAAAAUGACCCCGUAACUUCGGGAGAAGGGGUGCUCUUUAGGGUUAACGCCCAGAAGAGCCGCAGUGAAUAGGCCCAAGCGACUGUUUAUCAAAAACACAGGUCUCUGCUAAACCGUAAGGUGAUGUAUAGGGGCUGACGCCUGCCCGGUGCUGGAAGGUUAAGAGGAGUGGUUAGCUUCUGCGAAGCUACGAAUCGAAGCCCCAGUAAACGGCGGCCGUAACUAUAACGGUCCUAAGGUAGCGAAAUUCCUUGUCGGGUAAGUUCCGACCCGCACGAAAGGCGUAACGAUUUGGGCACUGUCUCAACGAGAGACUCGGUGAAAUCAUAGUACCUGUGAAGAUGCAGGUUACCCGCGACAGGACGGAAAGACCCCGUGGAGCUUUACUGUAGCCUGAUAUUGAAAUUCGGCACAGCUUGUACAGGAUAGGUAGGAGCCUUUGAAACGUGAGCGCUAGCUUACGUGGAGGCGCUGGUGGGAUACUACCCUAGCUGUGUUGGCUUUCUAACCCGCACCACUUAUCGUGGUGGGAGACAGUGUCAGGCGGGCAGUUUGACUGGGGCGGUCGCCUCCUAAAAGGUAACGGAGGCGCUCAAAGGUUCCCUCAGAAUGGUUGGAAAUCAUUCAUAGAGUGUAAAGGCAUAAGGGAGCUUGACUGCGAGACCUACAAGUCGAGCAGGGUCGAAAGACGGACUUAGUGAUCCGGUGGUUCCGCAUGGAAGGGCCAUCGCUCAACGGAUAAAAGCUA
RNAcentral lists this ribosomal RNA (2466 nucleotides) under Staphylococcus aureus. Its description in RNAcentral is "partial 23S ribosomal RNA". It matches the Rfam family "Bacterial large subunit ribosomal RNA", at positions 1 to 2465 of the family's 2925-position model. Lineage: Bacteria; Bacillati; Bacillota; Bacilli; Caryophanales; Staphylococcaceae. The record is from RNAcentral.